This 624-nucleotide long non-coding RNA is filed under the name Carica papaya (papaya). RNAcentral describes it as "long non-coding RNA (CPAP_LNC011139)". Lineage: Eukaryota; Viridiplantae; Streptophyta; Magnoliopsida; Brassicales; Caricaceae. The record is from RNAcentral.
UUCGGUACUCUUCAUAAUGGCACACCAUGGGUGCUAACUGUUGCCGCCGGGACCAUUGAUCGUGAAUUCGCCGCUAGUUUAGUUCUCGGAGAUGGUCAGUCGGUCAACGGCUUGUCUCUCUACCUAGGAAAAGUCAACCCAGAUGAGAUACCAGUUGUUUUCAUGGACGCCUGCGCUAGUGUGAAUGAACUGAGUCGACUCGGGGAAAAGAUUGUAGUGUGUCAAGAUAAGAAUGACUCACUCGGCGACCAAAUACAGAACAUCUUGGCUGCUAAAGUUGCCGGAGGAAUCUUCAUAACGAACAACACCGACAUAGAAUUCUUCAUUGAGAGCUUGUUUCCUGCAAUUUUCAUGAGUGUUGAAAAUGGAGAAUUAAUCAAAGAUUACAUCAAGCGCGGGAUAAAUCCAAAAGCAAGAAUGAAGUUUAAAGAAACAAAUCUGAGCAUAAAGCCUGCGCCGAAAACAACUAGCUAUACCUCUAGAGGGCCGUCAGAGAGCUGUCCAUUUGUGAUGAAGCCUGAUAUUAUGGCUCCAGGAUCGUUAAUCCUAGCUUCAUGGCCUGAAAACAUCUCCGUCGCCACCAUCGGUAACGACCAGUCCCUGUUCAGUAACUUCAAUGUAAUU